This 640-nucleotide ribosomal RNA is filed under the name uncultured Methylobacteriaceae bacterium. Its description in RNAcentral is "bacterial SSU rRNA". It matches the Rfam family "Bacterial small subunit ribosomal RNA", at positions 897 to 1533 of the family's 1533-position model. Lineage: Bacteria; Pseudomonadati; Pseudomonadota; Alphaproteobacteria; Hyphomicrobiales; Methylobacteriaceae. The record is from RNAcentral.
AAACUUAAAGGAAUUGACGGGGGCCCGCACAAGCGGUGGAGCAUGUGGUUCAAUUCGACGCAACGCGAAGAACCUUACCAGCCCUUGACAUGUCCAGGACCGGUCGCAGAGACGCGACCUUCUCUUCGGAGCUUGGAACACAGGUGCUGCAUGGCUGUCGUCAGCUCGUGUCGUGAGAUGUUGGGUUAAGUCCCGCAACGAGCGCAACCCUCGUCCUUAGUUGCCAUCAUUAAGUUGGGCACUCUAAGGAGACUGCCGGUGAUAAGCCGCGAGGAAGGUGGGGAUGACGUCAAGUCCUCAUGGCCCUUACGGGCUGGGCUACACACGUGCUACAAUGGCGGUGACAAUGGGCAGCGAACCAGCAAUGGGGAGCUAAUCUCAAAAAGCCGUCUCAGUUCGGAUUGCACUCUGCAACUCGAGUGCAUGAAGUUGGAAUCGCUAGUAAUCGUGGAUCAGCAUGCCACGGUGAAUACGUUCCCGGGCCUUGUACACACCGCCCGUCACACCAUGGGAGUUGGUUUUACCUUAAGACGGUGCGCUAACCGCAAGGAAGCAGCCGGCCACGGUAAGGUCAGCGACUGGGGUGAAGUCGUAACAAGGUAGCCGUAGGGGAACCUGCGGCUGGAUCACCUCCUUUCUG